Bacillus rossius redtenbacheri is the source of this 4727-nucleotide RNA transcript. RefSeq lists it as uncharacterized. The record is from RefSeq and is a predicted model, not a curated record. The transcript is spliced from 6 exons. NCBI's taxonomy places the organism in Eukaryota, Metazoa, Arthropoda, Insecta, Phasmatodea, Bacillidae.
UGAAUUUAAUACAUUUUAGGCUUGGAAUGCAUGGCCGUGGGUGCUGUUAUCACGCCGAGCCGCUAGGUAGCAGCACUGACGCUCUUCGCCCGCGCGGCUGUGCUAUUAGUAUAGAGCUGUCCUGUAUUCUCCCUCUACAGUAUUUGCUGUUACCACCCCUACCAGGAGACUCGAUUCAGUUUGUCACCAGUAGCUCAGACGAGUACAUAUGGUCUUUGGAAGGGUAUAUGCAGUGGAACCUAACAGAAGUAAAUGAAGAUGCGGCAGAUACGAAAGAAGAGUUAAGAACGUUGGUCGGAUACUAUCAAAUGGACACUAAAAGGAAAGGAAUAUUGCAUUGCAAAGAAAAUGGCUGUGGUUUCUUCACGUCCUCACCCCUGCUGUAUGUGCGACACUUUUCAGUUUUCCACAAGUCUGCACAUACAACUCACUUCAGUUGUGGUAAAGUUAUGUGUCUUCGGGAAUUUAGGUGCUACAGUUCAUUCGUAACUCACAUAUCAAGAGAUCAUCGGCAGCCAAAAGUUAAGAAAUUAUUAGUUUCAAGCGCUGCUUCUAAUUUUUCAUGUAAUGUUUGUACGGGAUCGUUUUUAUCCUUUCAUCUUUUAGUCAGUCACCUUAAAACACAUUUGAAAUGCAGAAAUGAAAGAGUGAUGUGCCCCUACAAUGGUUGCUAUAAAUCUUACACUAUUGCAUCAUCAUUCUCUGCUCACCUGUCAAGAUAUCACAAUUCUCAGAAACCUGAGCGAACAAUAAAUACUUAUGUAACUUUAGAGAGAGACAUGCCUAACGAAGAAAAUGUGGAUGAUCCCAGUGAGUUUUGCGUGCCUGAUACACAUGGCGAUGACUACACCACUGCUGAAAACAGCUUUAUUGGCAUGGGUACAGCUGAAACUCACCAGAUGCCAGAGCAGUCACUUACUAAAAGCUUAGCUCACUUUUGUUUCGUGCUCGUGUCGAAACUAAAUAUCCCAGAAAGAUCUGUGCAACUAAUACUUGACAAGUUUACUUCAGUCAUGGAUUUUUCACUUGAUUUAUUCAAAUCUGAAUUGGAAAAGAAACUAACAGGCAUGAUUGAUACUAAAACAUUGAAAAAAGUUUUGUAUGAAGUGUUUAGAAACAACAAUGACAUUAACACUAUACUGACACCAAGAAAAGGUCCUCUUCGUAGUUCUUAUUCAAGAAGAAAAUAUUUUGAAUCCAACUUCAACUUUGUUUCUCCUGUUGGAGUGCGACUGGGGUUUAAUAAAUAUAAUGAGGAAUGUCACAUGCACUACAUUCCUAUAUUACAUUCAUUGAAAGCAAUGUUGUCAAACGAGGCAGUAUACUCGCAAUAUCUGCUAACUACCAUUAAUGAACCCAAUUCUAUUGAAUCGGAAAGUAAUAUUGUACUAACAGAUACCAAAGAUGGAACAAAAAUUAAAAACCAUCCACUAUUUUCCAAUAAUUGUGAAGCUUUACAGGUAGUCUUAUUCCAGGAUGAAUUUCUUGUGGCCAAUCCUCUCGGCUCAAGCAAAAAAGAUUUGAAAAUGUUGGAAGUUUAUUUUUGUCUGGGCAACUUACCGCCAUGGAGUCGUUCGAAAGUGGAUAGCAUUAAGCUAGUUUUGCUCUGUAGGUCGAACGAUUUAAGGUAUUUUGGCACUGAAGUUAUUUUCGCAAGAUUAAUCAAUGAUUUGAAGGAACUAGAAAAUGUAGGCAUUGAGAUUAAAGGCAAGGCUAUUAAAGGGUCAAUUACCUACAUUGCUGGUGACAACUUAGGCAGUCACUUAAUCGGAGGGUUUACAGAGAACUUUAGUUCUGCACACUAUAUAUGUCGCUACUGUAACAUCAGCAGAGAAGAUCACGAGUCUGGCAUUAAAUGUGGUGAAAUAAGGACGCAAGAAACAUAUGACUCAGCAGUUAAAAUUCUGGAAACUAAUAGUUUGGAAAAUGUCGAAGGUAUCAAAUCGAAUUCUGUGUUUAACUCUCUUCGUUAUUUUCAUGUGGCAAAUGGCUUACCACCUUGUAUUGCUCAUGACAUAUUUGAAGGCAUAGCUCAAUAUGAUUUGCCACUUAUUCUGCAUUCAUUUGAAGACAAAGGUUGGAUUUCAUUCGAAAUUCUGAACAGGAAAAUAAAAAAAUUUAAGUACAAAAAUCAUGAGGUAAAUAAUAGACCCUGCCAGAUUGCGCAUAAAGGAAAAAGAUUAGGAGGGCAAGCAGCACAAACUUGGACACUUAUUCGCAUGUUACCGUUUAUAAUCGGAAACAGAAUACCUGAUUACUCUCAUUUAGCAUGGAAACUUUUUCUUCUCUUACUGCAAAUGUGUCAAAUAAUAACAUCUCCAAGAUUGAACAUGCAGAUAGUGGGACUUCUGGCAGAAAUAGUUACUGAGUAUAAUGACACUAGGAAGACCCUAUACCCUGACGAACGACUCAAGCCAAAACAUCAUUAUAUUUUACAUUAUCCCAGAUUGACACUGAUGUACGGACCACUAGCCUUGCUCAGUACAUUGCGGUUCGAAGCAAAACAUAGGUGUUUCAAGAAAUGGCAAGUGAUUUCAGGAAAUACGAAAAAUGUCACCAAAACCCUAAGUUACAAACACCAAUUACUAAUGGCAUCAUAUUCUGAACAAAGUGUCAUCAAUGAAUCAUCUGUGAACAAUGGAGUGCCAUACAAACCUGUACUAUACAGUGAUGAUUUUAAUAAAUGUAUCGAAGAUGCAACACUGCAUAUUGUUGAUCUUGUGGUUGGAGUGUCUUGUACACAUAAAGGAACAAUAUACAGGUCAAGUGAUGUCAUUGUUUUGAAGUCUCGAUUGGUUUUGAACUUAAUAGUAAUAGAAGCCUUUCUGCAAACAGUCAACAGAGAAGUAUUUAUUAUUGGUUUUCGUGCUACAGCACAUCAUCAACAAGAUUUAGGCGUGCAUAAGGUUGAAAAGGAAGAACAAAUGGUGUGUAUUUCAAUUGAAAUGCUUCAAGAUAACGAACCCUACGCAAUUUACGAUGACCUUGGCUACCCGGCUAUUGUUCUGAAACAUCUAACCAGCUAGCUGAAUUCACAUGGAAGAAGUCUUAAACUUUUUUAAGUCAAUUGUAAUGACAGUUGAUGAAAACUUAUUAAAGAUGAAGUUGGAAGAAAUAGGAGUCACAGAAAUGGAUGAUCUUCAAUUCAUUACAUGCGAGAAGCAUUUAGUUCCUCCGCUGAAAUUGGUGUCAGCACUGAAAAUGGAUAGAGCCAUAGUGAAGAGACUACCACAGGAAAUAGUCUGUACUCCAGACGUACCUAUGAAAAGCAUUCCAUCAACUUCUGAUACAACACAAAAUAAUGCACUGUUUUGGCCAAACGAGGAUUUGUCAUUUCACCCUGUGAGCAGCACGCCUAAGAGAGAACUGCAGAAUUUUGUUAUUCCCUACCAUAAGUUUCCCCCAGUUAUCAUUGAAUCCAUGAAAGACAAAAAACCUCUCGAAAAGCCAUCUCUCCUUAAUGUUGCUGUCAGGAUCAUUUCUAAUGAAGUACAUGCCAUUUGCAAACAUCCAGGUACUGCAUUUUACGAAUCUGUAGCUAAAGAGAUGGUGGGAAAAUACCCAGAAACAUUUGGCUUAUUUUAGACAAUGGCGACAUGUUAGGGGAGGGACAUCAUCUUCUGCAACGGAAAUUUGAGGAUCGUUUCCGAAAUUUAAAUCGGGGACAGAAUCACAAAUCCAUUGAUGAUGAUGAGGAAGAGGAAACGCCCAAAAAGCGGCCACCCACCAAGAAGGACACCUACGGGUGCGUAAAUUUUAUGCCAAAGGAGCUACCCGCCAACGAAAGUCCUCAAACACAAGAAGAUAAGCGCCUGUGGCUUAUCGAAGAGUAUAAUAAACCAAGCUCGUUGCGGGAUCAAACGAAAGUUACAGAAUUCAUGAUGUUGACGUACCCUACUCAAAGGGCUACCAUUGUGAACAGGUAUUAUAAGGAUGUAUACAAGCAUUGGCCGUUUCUUUGCGAGAGAGAACACAUUGAGCAUCAUUUCAAAUGCCUGAUGGGAUUUGAUUUAUUCCAAACUGCGGAGAAGUCUUUGGAAAGUUUAAUGCCACUGAUGGUUAAGUAUUAUUCGUCAAAGGUUUACUGUGAUGGUAAAAAACUGACGCAAGAGAAAAAGACUCUUAGGGACCAAAUUAUACACAUCGAGAAGCACUGUUGUAACAGUAAGGAAAUGUUGGUCCCAGUAAUAGAAAUAUUGAUUGAGUUGUGGAAACAAGACAAACAAGAAGUUUUCGUUACUUAUGAGGAAACAACUUCUUCUGCUGAGGUAGAAGCAGCAGCAAAACAGCCACAUCCACACAUUUCUAUACUUGGCAACAGUGCACAAUGCUUGGUGACCAUGGAAAACUUCAGCAUGAUACCAGUCAUGCCAGUGUAUGAUGCUCUUCUGAUUACAUUUGCACUCUAUUAUGUUCAUUCAGUGGCAUAUCCUCCAAAGUCAGCGGCUGUAUGGGAGUUUAUACAAAGAGUUGUCUUCAAAAUUGAUGGCGAGGGAUCUAAGGUGAAAAGGAUUAAAUCGUCGCCAGCUACUGUCAACAGUCGAGUGGCAACUCUUCUUCAAUCCUUGAGACAGUUCAAAGAAACUUGGAAAAUUUAAAAAAUAUAUAUAUAUAUAUAUAUAUUUUAACAGUUAUGGUUGAAAGUGUUUGAUAUUUAUUUGCUGGACUGUUUUGAGUUAAAUAUGUAAAUAGUAUAUUAUUCUUGCUACAUCAAAAUUGUACCGAUA